GACGUAGGGCGCGAGCGUUGUCCGGAUUUAUUGGGCGUAAAGAGCUCGUAGGCGGCUUGUUGCGUCAGCUGUGAAAACCCGCAGCUCAACUGUGGGCUUGCAGCUGAUACGGGCAGGCUUGAGUUCGGCAGGGGAGACUGGAAUUCCUGGUGUAGCGGUGAAAUGCGCAGAUAUCAGGAGGAACACCGGUGGCGAAGGCGGGUCUCUGGGCCGAAACUGACGCUGAGGAGCGAAAGCGUGGGGAGCAAACAGG
Molecule: ribosomal RNA, 253 nt
Filed under: uncultured bacterium
Lineage: Bacteria
Description: partial 16S ribosomal RNA
Rfam family: Bacterial small subunit ribosomal RNA
Source: RNAcentral